CCAUCAAAGAAGCUGUGAAAUGUGUUCUGGUUUUUAUCAUAUCACAGCCAUCUUUGAUGAGCU
Molecule: microRNA precursor, 63 nt
Filed under: Limulus polyphemus (Atlantic horseshoe crab)
Lineage: Eukaryota; Metazoa; Arthropoda; Merostomata; Xiphosura; Limulidae
Description: Lpo-Mir-2-P1m_pre stem-loop
Rfam family: mir-2 microRNA precursor family
About the family: The miRNAs are transcribed as ~70nt precursors (modelled here) and subsequently processed by the Dicer enzyme to give a ~22nt product. In this case the mature sequence comes from the 3' arm of the precursor.
Source: RNAcentral